GGGCCGGUAGAUCAGGGGAAGGUCGCUUGCUUCGCAAGCAAGAGGGCGCGGGUUCAAAAGCCUAGCAAUGACUGAAAAUCCCGCCCGGUCCA
Molecule: transfer RNA, 92 nt
Filed under: Thermoplasmata archaeon
Lineage: Archaea; Methanobacteriati; Thermoplasmatota; Thermoplasmata
Also listed under: 1 other name
Description: tRNA-Ala
Rfam family: tRNA
About the family: Transfer RNA (tRNA) molecules are approximately 80 nucleotides in length. Their secondary structure includes four short double-helical elements and three loops (D, anti-codon, and T loops). Further hydrogen bonds mediate the characteristic L-shaped molecular structure. tRNAs have two regions of fundamental functional importance: the anti-codon, which is responsible for specific mRNA codon recognition, and the 3' end, to which the tRNAs corresponding amino acid is attached (by aminoacyl-tRNA synthetases). tRNAs cope with the degeneracy of the genetic code in two manners: having more than one tRNA (with a specific anti-codon) for a particular amino acid; and 'wobble' base-pairing, i.e. permitting non-standard base-pairing at the 3rd anti-codon position.
Source: RNAcentral